ACUCCUACGGGAGGCAGCAGUAAGGAAUAUUGGGCAAUGGGCGGGAGCCUGACCCAGCCAUGCCGCGUGCAGGAAGACGGCCCUAUGGGUUGUAAACUGCUUUUGUUUGGGACUAACAGCCGGGUCGUGACCCGGCCUGCAGGUACCGAAUGAAUAAGCAUCGGCUAACUCCGUGCCAGCAGCCGCGGUAAUACGGAGGAUGCGAGCGUUAUCCGGAUUUAUUGGGUUUAAAGGGUGCGUAGGCUGGUAAUUAAGUCAGUGGCGAAAUACUCCGGCUCAACCGGGGGGCUGCCGUUGAUACUGGUUACCUUGAGUUUAGAUGAUGUGGGCGGAAUGUGUCAUGUAGCGGUGAAAUGCAUAGAGAUGACACAGAACACCGAUAGCGAAGGCAGCUCACAAAGCUAUUACUGACGCUGAUGCACGAAAGCGUGGGGAUCAAACAGGAUUAGAUACCCUGGUAGU
Molecule: ribosomal RNA, 462 nt
Filed under: uncultured bacterium
Lineage: Bacteria
Description: bacterial SSU rRNA
Rfam family: Bacterial small subunit ribosomal RNA
Source: RNAcentral